Molecule: ribosomal RNA, 506 nt
Filed under: uncultured bacterium
Lineage: Bacteria
Description: partial 16S ribosomal RNA
Rfam family: Bacterial small subunit ribosomal RNA
Source: RNAcentral
GAUGAACGCUAGCUACAGGCUUAACACAUGCAAGUCGAGGGGUAACAAGAGAAAAGCUUGCUUUUCUUGUUGACGACCGGCGCACGGGUGAGUAACGCGUAUCCAACCUGCCUAUAACUAGGGAAUAACCUUGCGAAAGUAAGACUAAUACCCUAUGAUUUCCUUUGAUGACAUCAGAUUAGGAAUAAAGAUUUAUCGGUUAUAGAUGGGGAUGCGUCUGAUUAGCUUGUUGGCGGGGUAACGGCCCACCAAGGCAACGAUCAGUAGGGGUUCUGAGAGGAAGGUCACCCACAGUGGAACUGAGACCCAGGCCAAACUCCUAAGGGAGGCAGAAGGGAGGAAAAUUGGUCAAUGGGCUGAAGCCUGAACCAGCCAGGUCGCGUGCCGGAUGACGGCCCUACGGGUUGUAAACUACUUUUAUACAGGAAUAAAGUUAGCCACGUGUGGUUAUUUGUAGGUACUGUAUGAAUAAGGACCGGCUAAUUCCGUGCCAGCCGCCGCCGUAA